RNAcentral lists this ribosomal RNA (445 nucleotides) under uncultured bacterium. Its description in RNAcentral is "partial 16S ribosomal RNA". It matches the Rfam family "Bacterial small subunit ribosomal RNA", at positions 330 to 792 of the family's 1533-position model. The record is from RNAcentral.
GCCAGACUCCUACGGGAGGCAGCAGUGGGGAAUAUUGCACAAUGGGGGAAACCCUGAUGCAGCGACGCCGCGUGAGCGAUGAAGUAUUUCGGUAUGUAAAGCUCUAUCAGCAGGGAAGAAAAUGACGGUACCUGACUAAGAAGCCCCGGCUAACUACGUGCCAGCAGCCGCGGUAAUACGUAGGGGGCAAGCGUUAUCCGGAUUUACUGGGUGUAAAGGGAGCGUAGACGGCUGUGCAAGCCAGGGGUGAAAGCCCGGGGCCCAACCCCGGGACUGCCCUUGGAACUGCUUGGCUGGAGUGCGGGAGGGGCAGGCGGAAUCCCUGGUGUAGCGGUGAAAUGCGUAGAUAUCAGGAGGAACACCGGUGGCGAAGGCGGCCUGCUGGACUGCGACUGACGUUGAGGCCCGAAAGCGUGGGGAGCAAACAGGAUUAGAUACCCCAGUA